Molecule: transfer RNA, 111 nt
Rfam family: tRNA
About the family: Transfer RNA (tRNA) molecules are approximately 80 nucleotides in length. Their secondary structure includes four short double-helical elements and three loops (D, anti-codon, and T loops). Further hydrogen bonds mediate the characteristic L-shaped molecular structure. tRNAs have two regions of fundamental functional importance: the anti-codon, which is responsible for specific mRNA codon recognition, and the 3' end, to which the tRNAs corresponding amino acid is attached (by aminoacyl-tRNA synthetases). tRNAs cope with the degeneracy of the genetic code in two manners: having more than one tRNA (with a specific anti-codon) for a particular amino acid; and 'wobble' base-pairing, i.e. permitting non-standard base-pairing at the 3rd anti-codon position.
GCGGGGUUAGCUCAGCUGGGAGAGCGUCAGACUGAAGUUAAUGACUUUGGUUACAACCGGAUUUUCAAAUCUGCCAUCUGAAGGUCAUGUGUUCGAUCCACAUACACCGCA